UCCCAUGAGGAUUGGGUUACUUGGCUGAGCUGUGAUCUAUGCAAAUAUGCAUUUAUAAACGUUCACAAGGAUUUUGAUACUUGCUGAGUGCAUAGGAAAAGCAGUGAGCUGUUCACUUUUAGUAAUUUAUACCCAGUGAAGCAAGAAUAUAACUCUCAUCCAUGCAUGGUUGUAGCUUUCUUGGACAUUUAUGCUGAGGGGAGAAAACACAAGUCUUGAGACAUGGAGUAAGAGCUCCUGUGUAAUGUGAAUGCUGUUUGAAGGUGACUUUUAUCCACACAGACCUAGAACGCUUCCUGGGAGAGUGGUGUGUUCCAGAUCCCUUCCUGCUCUGUGAUGCGUUAACGAGGUCUGCUGCUCUCCUCUGGAUAUUGUCUGGAUUCAGCUGCCAGCUCCAGUGGCAGUGGAAGGCAAGGAUGGAGAGGUUAACAGCUACCUCACUCACCCCCAAGGGCUGGGAGGGCUGGCAAAGCACAGAGGGCUUUCUCCUGCUUAGGCUGCCACAGCUCAUGCAAUGCCACAGAUUAAUGGAGCUCCAGACUGUCUGAUGGAGUUUUUCCCACAGAGCAAA
Long non-coding RNA from Hirundo rustica (Barn swallow), 571 nucleotides. RefSeq lists it as uncharacterized. The transcript has 3 exons. NCBI's taxonomy places the organism in Eukaryota, Metazoa, Chordata, Aves, Passeriformes, Hirundinidae. The record is from RefSeq and is a predicted model, not a curated record.